UAGAGUUUGAUCCUGGCUCAGGACGAACGCUGGCGGCGUGCUUAACACAUGCAAGUCGAACGAGGCCCAAGCGUCAGCAAUGACGUGGAAGGCCUAGUGGCGAACGGGUGAGUAACACGUGAGGAACCUACCCCGGACUCAGGGAUAACAGACGGAAACAUCUGCUAAUACCUGAUGCCGUCGGAGCAUCACAUGGUGCACUGACGAAAGAAUCUCGGUUCGGGAGGGCCUCGCGGCCUAUCAGCUAGUUGGUGGGGUAACGGCCUACCAAGGCAUCGACGGGUAGCUGGUCUGAGAGGAUGAUCAGCCACACUGGGACUGAGACACGGCCCAGACUCCUACGGGAGGCAGCAGUGGGGAAUCUUGCGCAAUGGGCGAAAGCCUGACGCAGCAACGCCGCGUGCGGGAAGAAGGCCUUAGGGUUGUAAACCGCUUUCAGUAGGAACGAAAAUGACGGUACCUGCAGAAGAAGGUGCGGCCAACUACGUGCCAGCAGCCGCGGUGACACGUAGGCACCAAGCGUUGUCCGGAUUUAUUGGGCGUAAGGAGCUCGUAGGCGGUUCAGUAAGUCGGGUGUGAAAACUCUGGGCUUAACCCAGAGCCGCCACUCGAUACUGCUGUGACUAGAGUUCGGUAGGGGAGCAGGGAAUUCCUAGUGUAGCGGUGAAAUGCGCAGAUAUUAGGAGGAACACCGGUGGCGAAGGCGCUGCUCUGGGCCGAUACUGACGCUGAGGAGCGAAAGCGUGGGUAGCAAACAGGAUUAGAUACCCCUGGUAGUCCACGCCGUAAACGUUGGGCACUAGGUGUGGGGUUCCAACCAACGGAAUCCGCGCCGUCGCUAACGCAUUAAGUGCCCCGCCUGGGGAGUACGGCGGCAACGCUAAAACUCAAAGGAAUUGACGGGGGCCCGCACAAGCAGCGGAGCGUGUUGCUUAAUUCGAUGCAACGCGAAGAACCU
Molecule: ribosomal RNA, 958 nt
Filed under: uncultured bacterium
Lineage: Bacteria
Description: bacterial SSU rRNA
Rfam family: Bacterial small subunit ribosomal RNA
Source: RNAcentral